AGAGUGCGUAAUAGCUCACUGGUCGAGUGAAGUUGCGCGGAAAAUUACCGGGGCUAAGUUAUACACCGAAAUUGCGGAUUCAUUAAGAAAUUAAUGAGUGGUAGAGGAGCGUUCUAUACAGGAUGAAGUAUGAUCGAGAGGACAUAUGGACAGUAUAGAAGAGAGAAUGCCGGAAUGAGUAGCGAGAGCAAAGUGAGAAUCUUUGCCGUCGAAAAUCUAAGGUUUCCUGGGGAAGGUUCGUCCGCCCAGGGUAAGUCGGGACCUAAGGUGAGGCCGAAGGGCGUAGCCGAUGGACAGCAGGUUAAGAUUCCUGCACCAGUAUACAUGUAUAAUGCAUAAGAGGACACAUUUGAAGAAGAUGAGCGAGGAAGAGGAAAAACUCGUAUGGCAACAUAUAGUGAAAUUAAGUAACGAAUCAUCAAGAGGCAAGUGGCGAGAAAAGUCUUAUGUAGUUGUGUAGACUGCCCGUACCGCAAACCGACACAGGUAGAUGAGGAGAGGAUCCUAAGACGAGCGGGAGAAGCAUUGUUAAGGAACUCGGCAAAUUGACCCCGUAACUUAGGGAUAAGGGGUGCUGGUGUAAAAGCCAGUCGCAGUAAAUAGGCCCAAGCAACUGUUUAACAAAAACACAGGUUUCUGCUAAAUCGCAAGAUGAAGUAUAGGAGCUGACUCCUGCCCAGUGCUGGAAGGUUAAGGGGAAAGGUUAAGAAUAAUUCAUUAUAUCUGAAGCUUUGAACUCAAGCCCCAGUGAACGGCGGCCGUAACUAUAACGGUCCUAAGGUAGCGAAAUUCCUUGUCAGGUAAGUUCUGACCCGCACGAAAGGAGUAAUGAUUUGGGCACUGUCUCAACAAUGUACCCGGCGAAAUUGUAGUACUAGUGAAGAUGCUAGUUACCUGCGACAAGACGGAAAGACCCCAUGGAGCUUUACUAUAGCCUGAUAUUGGGCUUUGGUAUCUUAUGUACAGGAUAGGUGGGAGACUAUGAGAUUAAGACGCAAGUCUUAAAGGAGUCAACCUUGGAAUACCACCCUUAAGAUAUUAGAGUUCUAACUUGUGAUCAUAAACUGGUCAGAGGACAUUGUCAGGUGGGUAGUUUGACUGGGGCGGUCACCUCCUAAAGAGUAACGGAGGUGCGCAAAGGUUUCCUCGGCACGGUCAGAAAUCGUGCUAAUGAGUGUAAAGGCAUAAGGAAGCUUAACUGAGAGAGAGACAUCUCGACCAGAUACGAAAGUAGGUCUUAGUGAUCCGGUGGUAGAAAAUGGAAUUGCCAUCGCUCAACGGAUAAAAGUUACCCUGGGGAUAACAGGCUUAUCUCCCCCAAGAGUUCACAUCGACGGGGAGGUUUGGCACCUCGAUGUCGGCUCAUCGCAUCCUGGAGCGGAAGUACGUUCCAAGGGUUGGGCUGUUCGCCCAUUAAAGCGGUACGCGAGCUGGGUUCAGAACGUCGUGAGACAGUUCGGUCCCUAUCUGUCGCAGGCGCAGGAUAUUUGAAAGGAGCUGUCCUUAGUACGAGAGGACCAGGAUGGACAUACCAAUGGUGCAACAGUUGUCACACCAGUGGCACAGCUGUGUAGCUAAGUAUGGAAGGGAUAAACGCUGAAAGCAUCUAAGCGUGAAGCCCCCCUUAAGAUAAGAUAUCCCACAACGUCAAGUUGG
RNAcentral lists this ribosomal RNA (1656 nucleotides) under human oral metagenome. RNAcentral describes it as "bacterial LSU rRNA". It matches the Rfam family "Bacterial large subunit ribosomal RNA", at positions 1127 to 2828 of the family's 2925-position model. The record is from RNAcentral.